Molecule: ribosomal RNA, 254 nt
Filed under: uncultured bacterium
Lineage: Bacteria
Description: partial 16S ribosomal RNA
Rfam family: Bacterial small subunit ribosomal RNA
Source: RNAcentral
CACGUAGGGGGCAAGCGUUGUCCGGAUUUAUUGGGCGUAAAGAGCUCGUAGGCGGCUUAGUAAGUCGGGUGUGAAACCUCCAGGCUCAACCUGGAGACGCCACCCGAUACUGCUGUGGCUAGAGUCCGGUAGGGGAGCGUGGAAUUCCUGGUGUAGCGGUGAAAUGCACAGAUAUCAGGAGGAACACCGAUGGCGAAGGCAGGUCUCUGGGCUGACACUGACGCUCAUGCACGAAAGCGUGGGGAGCAAACAGG